Molecule: long non-coding RNA, 216 nt
Organism: Octopus sinensis (East Asian common octopus)
Lineage: Eukaryota; Metazoa; Mollusca; Cephalopoda; Octopoda; Octopodidae
Exons: 4
Source: RefSeq, a predicted model, not a curated record
AUUUUGAUUUUCACUUGCCUCAAUGGGUCUUCACAAGUGGAGUUUUGUGUCCCAAGAAGGAAAGGUAUGUAUAAGUCGACUGGCUACAUACCAGGUAGAGGCCACGGGUUAUAGUCUCACUAGUCCUGCCGGAUGUUCUCACGCACAGCAUACUUUCAUAGGUCUCGGUCUCUAGUCAUUUCCUUGUAUAUAUAUAUAUUUUAUAUUCUUCAAGCC